GGUUAAGCGACUAAGCGUACACGGUGGAUGCCCUGGCAGUCAGAGGCGAUGAAGGACGUGCUAAUCUGCGAAAAGCGUCGGUAAGGUGAUAUGAACCGUUACAGCCGGCGAUGUCCGAAUGGGGAAACCCAGUGUGAUUCGUCACACUAUCGUUAACUGAAUACAUAGGUUAACGAGGCGAACCGGGGGAACUGAAACAUCUAAGUACCCCGAGGAAAAGAAAUCAACCGAGAUUCCCCCAGUAGCGGCGAGCGAACGGGGAGCAGCCCAGAGUCUGAAUCAGCUUGUGUGUUAGUGGAACGGUCUGGAAAGUCCGACGGUACAGGGUGAUAGUCCCGUACACCAAAAUGCACAGGCUGUGAACUCGAAGAGUAGGGCGGGACACGUGGUAUCCUGUCUGAAUAUGGGGGGACCAUCCUCCAAGGCUAAAUACUCCUGACUGACCGAUAGUGAACCAGUACCGUGAGGGAAAGGCGAAAAGAAC
This 484-nucleotide ribosomal RNA is filed under the name Klebsiella aerogenes. RNAcentral's name for it is "partial 23S ribosomal RNA". It matches the Rfam family "Bacterial large subunit ribosomal RNA", at positions 1 to 524 of the family's 2925-position model. The record is from RNAcentral. Lineage: Bacteria; Pseudomonadati; Pseudomonadota; Gammaproteobacteria; Enterobacterales; Enterobacteriaceae. RNAcentral also lists the same sequence under 1 other name.